AGCAAGCGUGCGUUCGUGAACGCGCGUCGAGAGUACCGGGAGAAAAAGCAUCGGCUAACUCCGUGCCAGCAGCCGCGGUAAUACGGAGGAUGCGAGCGUUAUCCGGAUUUAUUGGGUUUAAAGGGUGCGUAGGCGGGAUGCCAAGUCAGCGGUAAAAAUGCGGUGCUCAACGCCGUCGAGCCGUUGAAACUGGCGUUCUUGAGUGGGCGAGAAGUAUGCGGAAUGCGUGGUGUAGCGGUGAAAUGCAUAGAUAUCACGCAGAACUCCGAUUGCGAAGGCAGCAUACCGGCGCCCUACUGACGCUGAGGCACGAAAGCGUGGGUAUCGAACAGGAUUAGAUACCCUGGUAGUCCACGCAGUAAACGAUGAAUGCUAACUGUCCGGCUCGAAUGAGCGCUGG
Molecule: ribosomal RNA, 400 nt
Filed under: uncultured bacterium
Lineage: Bacteria
Description: bacterial SSU rRNA
Rfam family: Bacterial small subunit ribosomal RNA
Source: RNAcentral